RNAcentral lists this ribosomal RNA (459 nucleotides) under uncultured bacterium. RNAcentral describes it as "bacterial SSU rRNA". It matches the Rfam family "Bacterial small subunit ribosomal RNA", at positions 9 to 471 of the family's 1533-position model. The record is from RNAcentral.
GAGUUUGAUCCUGGCUCAGAUUGAACGCUGGCGGCAGGCCUAACACAUGCAAGUCGAGCGGUAGAGAGAAGCUUGCUUCUCUUGAGAGCGGCGGACGGGUGAGUAAUGCCUAGGAAUCUGCCUGGUAGUGGGGGAUAACGCUCGGAAACGGACGCUAAUACCGCAUACGUCCUACGGGAGAAAGCAGGGGACCUUCGGGCCUUGCGCUAUCAGAUGAGCCUAGGUCGGAUUAGCUAGUUGGUGAGGUAAUGGCUCACCAAGGCGACGAUCCGUAACUGGUCUGAGAGGAUGAUCAGUCACACUGGAACUGAGACACGGUCCAGACUCCUACGGGAGGCAGCAGUGGGGAAUAUUGGACAAUGGGCGAAAGCCUGAUCCAGCCAUGCCGCGUGUGUGAAGAAGGUCUUCGGAUUGUAAAGCACUUUAAGUUGGGAGGAAGGGCAGUAAAUUAAUACUUUG